GACGAACGCUGGCGGCGUGCCUAAUACAUGCAAGUAGAACGCACAGUUUAUACCGUAGCUUGCUACACCAUAGACUGUGAGUUGCGAACGGGUGAGUAACGCGUAGGUAACCUGCCUGGUAGCGGGGGAUAACUAUUGGAAACGAUAGCUAAUACCGCAUAAUAUUAAUUAUUGCAUGAUAAUUAAUUGAAAGGUGCAAUUGCACCACUACCAGAUGGACCUGCGUUGUAUUAGCUAGUAGGUGAGGUAACGGCUCACCUAGGCGACGAUACAUAGCCGACCUGGGAGGGUGAUCGGCCAAACUGGGAAUGAGAAACGGCCCAGACUCCUACGGGAGGCAGCAGUAGGGAAUCUUCGGCAAUGGACGAAAGUCUGACCGAGCAACGCCGCGUGAGUGAAGAAGGUUUUCGGAUCGUAAAGCUCUGUUGUAAGAGAAGAACGGGUGUGAGAGUGGAAAGUUCACACUGUGACGGUAUCUUACCAGAAAGGGACGGCUAACUACGUG
This 505-nucleotide ribosomal RNA is filed under the name uncultured bacterium. Its description in RNAcentral is "partial 16S ribosomal RNA". It matches the Rfam family "Bacterial small subunit ribosomal RNA", at positions 28 to 507 of the family's 1533-position model. The record is from RNAcentral.